This 530-nucleotide ribosomal RNA is filed under the name uncultured bacterium. RNAcentral's name for it is "partial 16S ribosomal RNA". It matches the Rfam family "Bacterial small subunit ribosomal RNA", at positions 355 to 873 of the family's 1533-position model. The record is from RNAcentral.
UGGGGAAUAUUGCACAAUGGGCGCAAGCCUGAUGCAGCCAUGCCGCGUGUGUGAAGAAGGCCUUCGGGUUGUAAAGCACUUUCAGCGAGGAGGAAGGUGGUGGACUUAAUACGUUCAUCAAUUGACGUUACUCGCAGAAGAAGCACCGGCUAACUCCGUGCCAGCAGCCGCGGUAAUACGGAGGGUGCAAGCGUUAAUCGGAAUUACUGGGCGUAAAGCGCACGCAGGCGGUUUGUUAAGUCAGAUGUGAAAUCCCCGGGCUCAACCUGGGAACUGCAUUUGAAACUGGCAAGCUAGAGUCUCGUAGAGGGGGGUAGAAUUCCAGGUGUAGCGGUGAAAUGCGUAGAGAUCUGGAGGAAUACCGGUGGCGAAGGCGGCCCCCCUGGACGAAGACUGACGCUCAGGUGCGAAAGCGUGGGGCAGCAAACAGGAUUAGAUACCCUGGUAGUCCACGCUGUAAACGAUGUCGAUUUUGGAGGUUGUGCCCCUUGAGGCGUGGNUUCCGGAGCUAACGCGUUAAAUCGACCGCC